Molecule: ribosomal RNA, 468 nt
Filed under: uncultured Comamonadaceae bacterium
Lineage: Bacteria; Pseudomonadati; Pseudomonadota; Betaproteobacteria; Burkholderiales; Comamonadaceae
Description: bacterial SSU rRNA
Rfam family: Bacterial small subunit ribosomal RNA
Source: RNAcentral
AUUGAACGCCUGGCGGAAUGCUUUACACAUGCAAGUCGAACGGUAGAGGGGGCAACUCCUUGAGAGUGGCGAACGGGUGAGUAAUAUAUCGGAACGUGCCCAGUCGUGGGGGAUAACGUAGUGAAAAUUACGCUAAUACCGCAUACGAUCUAAGGAUGAAAGCGGGGGAUCGCAAGACCUCGCGCGACUGGAGCGGCCGAUAUCAGAUUAGGUAGUUGGUAGGGUAAAGGCCUACCAAGCCAACGAUCUGUAGCUGGUCUGAGAGGACGACCAGCCACACUGGAACUGAGACACGGUCCAGACUCCUACGGGAGGCAGCAGUGGGGAAUUUUGGACAAUGGGCGAAAGCCUGAUCCAGCCAUUCCGCGUGCAGGAUGAAGGCCCUCGGGUUGUAAACUGCUUUUGUACAGAACGAAAAGGUCUCUAUUAAUACUAGGGGCUCAUGACGGUACUGUAAGAAUAAGCACG